GCUCCAUGAGGCGUUUCCCACAAGGCCACAAGGUGAGGCCGUGAGAUGCAGACCACCGUCCGGGGCCCUCGCCGAUGCCGGCGGCAAGUAGGGACGUGUUGCGGUAGCAAGGCCCGCAUCCGGCGCGGCCAAUCCCGGGACUAAACUGUGGCAGCUGCUCCCUUGCCUAUGUUCUCCUCAGUUCAAGCUCAGAGACAAUUCACACAAGGUGAGAUGCGGUCUGCCGUCCGAGGCCGUCGCCGUCGCCGGCGGCAGGGCGAGAGCUAUGCUGUGUAGCACCGUUUGCGUCCGGCGUGCCUAAGUUGUGGCAGCUGCUCCAUGCUGUUGUUCCCUGCCAACAACAUCGCGCGCGGGGGCGGUCAACGAGUACCUUGAGAUACAACAGGGGCUCAUGUAGAUUCAUUUCAAGUUUGGAACUCGAUGCAAGCUCAGAGGCAGAGAUUCAAGGCGCAAAAACGUACCUAUGCAUGAUGAAGUGCCAGGAGCUGCUUCCAUGCUCAAGAACACAGUGGAUGCAUGCUGAUCCACAGAGAGAGCACUUUUCUAUCAAUCCUGAUCUAUUCUCAUGUGAUCUAGGGGGCAACAUCGACAGUGUAGUAGAUGGGCAGGAGAAAGGAUGUAGCCGGGAAGAUAUCUUGGUGGUAAUCUGUUGUUACAUAGGAGAAAAAAAGUUUGUUUUGUUGAUUAUAUGGAACAAAUUAGAGAGAUACGCUGUGUUUUAUUA
Long non-coding RNA from Triticum aestivum (bread wheat), 724 nucleotides. RefSeq lists it as uncharacterized. Lineage: Eukaryota; Viridiplantae; Streptophyta; Magnoliopsida; Poales; Poaceae. The transcript has 2 exons. The record is from RefSeq and is a predicted model, not a curated record.